ACGAACGCUGGCGGCGUGCUUAACACAUGCAAGUCGAGCGGUAAGGCCCUUUCGGGGGUACACGAGCGGCGAACGGGUGAGUAACACGUGGGUGACCGGCCCUCAGCUCUGGGAUAAGCCUGGGAAACCGGGUCUAAUACCGGAUAUGACUCCAUGACGCAUGUUGUGGGGUGGAAAGCCUUGUGCGGCUGAGGAUGGGCCCGCGGCCUAUCAGCUUGUUGGUGGGGUGAUGGCCACCAAGGCGACGACGGGUAGCCGGCCUGAGAGGGCGACCGGCCACACUGGGACUGAGACACGGCCCAGACUCCUACGGGAGGCAGCAGUGGGGAAUCUUGCGCAAUGGGCGAAAGCCUGACGCAGCGACGCCGCGUGAGGGAUGACG
This 382-nucleotide ribosomal RNA is filed under the name uncultured bacterium. RNAcentral's name for it is "bacterial SSU rRNA". It matches the Rfam family "Bacterial small subunit ribosomal RNA", at positions 29 to 413 of the family's 1533-position model. The record is from RNAcentral.